CUAAAGCCCACUAGAACAACCACCAGUCCCGCUUCCUCUCCAACCCCCCCACCACCACCCCCGCCAUUGCCGAGCCACCCGAACCGGCGGCCAUGUCGAGAUUCUGGAGACCUGGGGCGGAGAAGCCGAGCGCAUCGCUCGUCGACGACGAGGAGGGCGGCGUCCUCUUCCUCCCCACCAACACCAACGCUUCUUCCUCCUCCUCCGGGUUUGGGUGCGCGUCCUUGGAGAGGCUGAGGCAGCGGCUGCCGGUGUACAAGUACCGCAAGGCCAUCCUAUACCUGGUGGAGCGGCAUGCCACGACCAUCAUCGUCGGCGAGACGGGUAGCGGCAAGUCCACGCAGAUCCCUCAGUAUCUUAAGGAGGCUGGUUGGGCUGAGGGUGGUCGACUUAUAGGUUGCACCCAGCCAAGACGAUUGGCCGUGCAGACGGUUGCAUCAAGGGUAGCUGAAGAAGUUGGUGUGAAACUUGGAGAAGAAGUAGGAUAUACAAUAAGAUUUGAGGAUGAAACAAACCCGGGCAUGACCAUGAUCAAAUUUCUCACAGAUGGAGUACUGAUUAGAGAAAUGAUGGAAGAUCCUCUUCUGAGCAAAUAUAGUGUCAUUAUGAUAGAUGAAGCUCAUGAAAGAUCCAUUUCAACCGACAUAUUGCUGGGACUCUUGAAAAAGAUUCAACGCCGUCGGCCGGAGUUACGCCUAAUCAUUUCCUCUGCAACAAUUGAAGCAAGAUCAAUGUCAGCCUUUUUCAGCAAUAGGCGGAAGAAUUCAUUGCUCAAGCCUGCUGAUGAUUUGCCGAACCCAGAACCUGCUAUACUUUCUGUUGAAGGUAGAGGAUAUACAGUAGAAACUCAUUAUCUAGAAGAACCUGUCUCAGACUACUUACAGGCUGCUGUGAAUACUGUUCUUAUUAUUCACGAAAAGGAACCACCUGGGGAUAUUUUGGUGUUUUUAACUGGCCAGGAUGACAUAGAUGCUGCUCUUAAGUUGCUAAAUGAUGAAAUUCAACAUCUGGGAAAACACUAUUUUGAUUUGGUGAUUUUGCCUUUGUACUCCGGCCUUCCGCGGGGAGACCAAGAUCUCAUUUUUGUUCCUACUUCCAAAGGGAAAAGAAAAGUUGUGAUAUCAACAAACAUUGCUGAGACAUCAUUGACUCUGGAGGGCGUGGUGUACGUUGUUGAUAGUGGAUUUUCCAAGCAGAAGUGCUAUAACCCGAUUUCUGACCUCGAGAGUCUAGUUGUCGCACCAAUAUCUAAAGCUUCUGCAAGGCAACGAGCAGGCAGAGCUGGAAGGGUGCGACCUGGGAAAUGCUUUAGGCUUUACACAGAGGAAUAUUACCUAAGUGAAAUGCAGUCAGAUGGCAUUCCAGAAAUGCAAAGGUCUAACCUUGUUUCCUGCAUAAUACAGUUGAAAGCGCUAGGCAUAGACAACAUCUUGGGGUUUGAUUGGCCAGCUUCUCCAUCACCAGAAGCAAUGAUUCGGGCUCUCGAAAUUCUAUUUUCACUAGGAAUCCUUGAUGAAGAUGCCAAACUAACAGUUCCCAUUGGUUUCCAAGUUGCUGAGAUGCCUCUGGACCCCAUGAUCUCAAAAAUGAUCUUGUCAGCAAAUGAUUUUGGAUGCUCUGAUGAGAUAUUGACGAUAGCAGCAUUUCUAUCUGUUCAGUCUGUGUGGGUCUCUAUGCGGGGAGUGAAGAAGGAAUUUGAUGAGGCCAAACUUCGGUUUGCCGCUGCUGAGGGUGAUCAUGUAACAUUCCUGAAUAUCUACAAAGGAUUUCACCAGUCUGGAAAAUCUAGUCAGUGGUGUUACAAGAACUUUUUGAAUCACCAAGCACUGAAGAAGGUCAUUGAAAUCAGGGCACAGCUUGUCAGGGUAGUGAAGAGGUUUGGCAUACAGCUGAAAUCCUGCGACAGAGAUAUGCAGGCAGUUAGAAAGGCCAUUAUUGCUGGUUCGUUUGCUAAUUCAUGUCAUCUGGAGGAAUAUGGCCAGAAUGGAAUGUAUAAAACAAUUAGGACGUCACAAGAAGUUUACAUUCAUCCAUCUUCCGUGCUCUUUAGGGUUAAUCCAAAGUGGGUCGUCUACCAGUCUCUUGUUUCAACUGACAAGCACUAUAUGCGUAAUGUAAUUGCCAUUGAACCAUCAUGGCUUACUGAAGCUGCACCGCAUUUUUACCAGUUCCGAACACCCAAUCCAGCUCCGCAUUAACUUAACCGUGACGGUGCAAUGUUGCAUUUAUGGUAAGAGUACUAAGGUCGGCUGGGGUCUCACUAUUUCCAUCAGUCCAUUUGGGCCAGUAUACCAAUCAGUAUGACUUGUUCUUAUCAAAUAGUAUGAACUACUUUGAAGAAAAUCAAUUGGGGCACAUUUGGUGGGCAAAGAAAGAAUCUUCCAUCUUGUAGAGGCACAGUUUCUUUCCAAACUAAUGGAAACCACCAUGUUUGUAUAUAAUUUGGACUUAUGGUGCUAUCCUGUUGCAUUAACGAUAUGAGUAUAUUUUCGGUCCCCGUUAUCUAUCCUGAAUUGCGCAUAUGUGGCAUUGCCUUGCUGUCUUACAAGUAGGACAUUCAUUGCCCCUCUGACGGACCAUUGAACUCAGCCGUUCCCACCAAAUCUGAACAUAGAGGCACUGAAAUUCAAAUGGACUUUGGAUCUUGCUGUCUGCGAUGUAGUAUCAAAUGCCCUCGGCUAUAUGGGGUUGUACCAUCAAGGUCAUAUAAACACAGAUGAUAUCUUUUAUCGUUUGAAGACUUGAUGAGUAGUAGCUGGGUUAUUUUUUUUUUUUUGCGGGGAAGUAGUAGCUGAGUUAUAAUCUGGAGUUUAUUGAGAAGUUAAUUAUAGGCAAAUGAAAUGCUCUUGUAUUGCACAUAGCUUCAGCGAAUAGCAGCAGCAGUAGUAUUACUUCUUUCAGUGUGUGUGUAGUCCCAGUGUGGAUGUUGUCCUAAAUACUUAUGCACGUGGAUUCAGCUGUUU
RNA transcript from Triticum aestivum (bread wheat), 2963 nucleotides. It is a transcript of the gene named probable pre-mRNA-splicing factor ATP-dependent RNA helicase DEAH9, with no coding region annotated. Lineage: Eukaryota; Viridiplantae; Streptophyta; Magnoliopsida; Poales; Poaceae. The transcript is spliced from 25 exons. The record is from RefSeq and is a predicted model, not a curated record.